UCCACGCUAAAACACCACAAAGAGAUUCU
RNAcentral lists this non-coding RNA (29 nucleotides) under Mus musculus (house mouse). The record is from RNAcentral. Lineage: Eukaryota; Metazoa; Chordata; Mammalia; Rodentia; Muridae.